GGGCUUGUAACUUGAGUCCGGGCCUUUUUUCUGCUGAAACUGUUCCAUAGCUUGGGCUGUAAUUUGGACUAACAGAUGGGCUUGUAACUUGAGUUUGGGCCUUAGGCUUAGUUGGGCCCGGGCAAUAAUUGGGUAUUACAAUACCUAUGGAUGAAAGUCAGGUGAGCAGCAAAAUGUUUUUCUAUAUACUUUCAUUUGAAAAGGGGCAUGGGGCUGAACAGGACUGAAAAUUUUCACUUUCAAGUCGAAUGAGCUUAAUUCCAAUUUCCUGUCUCAGGAGGAUAAUAAAAUAGUGCGACAAGAUCUGAACGAAAGCACAUUGGAUUUGAGCUUCGGUUAAACGGUUCGUGACUGUGAGUCUGAUUCGAAAACAAAUCGCAACGGACAGUUGGAAAGAGUAAAAUUGAGUAGUGGUCGAACAUGAUUGAGUAUAGCUUUGCAGGCUGUUUCAGCAAAUAGAUGCAGAUGGUAAGUAGACAUUAUUAUUAGUCUCCUCAUUUAUGGCAUAUUCCAUCAUCUAGGGUUUUAUAAACGGCGGGAUCGGCCACUCUCUUUCCCUCUUUUGUCAUCGGUUUAAUCCUUCCGAUAUUUGCGUGUAUUACAUUCGCAUGUGAAAAAUCAAGUGCUUAAUUACUAUUUUCUUCGUUUAACCGGUGAUAGAUUGAAUUUAAUGCUACAUGUACCAAGAUAAGGGGGUUGAUUCAAAUCAGUAUCCUUAAUCUUGAUUUUGCCAUAGCGGCUGUAGCUAUAAUAGAGAAGUUAACUGGCCGGUUAUCGUGCUUAAUUUGAAAAUUUCAAGCUUCCGUCGGUUAAUCUGCUUACCGAGCUUCGUACAUUUCAUUUCAUGUUAUUGGUUUUUUUUUUUUGGUAAAUUUUGAGAAGGGGGGAGAAGAAGGGAAUAGCAUAGGAUUUAGCUAUUUCAAGAGACCCUUCUCUAACAUCAAAAAUUAGGUCACCUUCCAGGCUUUCUGCUUUGCUUCUCUGCAGUUUGCGUCUAUCGGUGCCUACAUUCAUUCCAUUUCUAAGAACAAAAAAUUGUAUUUUACUUUCGAUUUUAGUAUUUGCAAGUCUUCAAUCCAUUUCCAGUCCCAGCUAUCUGUUCGUUUAAUUGGGCCUUUUCAAUUUCAUUUGAAUUUAAAAAUAAAUUAAAUCGUUAUAAUUUGAUUCGAAAAUUUCGAAUCUUAAUUCAAAAUGGCUUGAAAGUUUAGAUUCACUUGAAUCAAAGCCUUUAAAUUUUAAAAGCAAAAUUGAUUGAAAAUCAUCUAACUCAAAAAUCAAUCUAAACCGUUUAAUCAAAGUUUACAUAAAUUAAACAGUAACGAGUGGAUUUAAAUGGGCAAAAUAUAAAAAAAAAAGUCAGUUUUUUUCUUAAAUUUAUCGAAAUGAGCCUUCGCGUCCACAUCAGCAAAUCGUGUCCACAUCAGUGCGCUUUCCUGACGUGGACACAUAUCGCGUCCACGUAAAAUGGAUUUGUUUCCAAUUUGAUACCUGAAUCUUUUUUAUCCUAAUUUCAGUACUUAAAUUUGUCCUCAAUGUUCAAUUCAAUACAUGAGCUUUUUGCCUGAUGAAUAUGUGAUAUGUGUGCUCUAGUAAAAAACAUAAGACUUUAAUUGAGAUAAAAAAAAACUCAAGUUAAUAUUAAAUUGAAUAUUAGAGUCAUACUCAUGUACCAAAUUGGAGAAAAAACCCACGUACCAAAUUGAAUAUUAAUACCAAUCUCAGAUACCAAACACUAAACUGAUUUUUUUUUUUAUUUUUUUUUUGUAAAAUUGACCUAGAUUGUCAUUAAAAUAGAUUAAAAUUUUAGAUUCGAGUCUCAUCAAAUAUUAUAAAUCAUGUGUGAAUUUUUUUCAGUACAUUUUUAGUGUUUCUUACAAGGUUUUAGUGAAAAUUUAAGUUCAAUUAGUGAUUGAGUAAAAAAUUAUGAAGUAUUCGUGUUAAUAAUCAACUCUUUUGAAAGAAAUAUUUGAAAUGUUGUGCCAUCGAAAUUGACGAACCCUUUAGCAAAUCAAUAUUGUUCCUCUUUUAAAGUUUUUUCUCUUGGCUCAAACAAAAAUCCAAGUUCCUAAGGUUGCUUGAAAAGGUAAUAGAUUCAACAAAGUGGAAUCAUCUCUUAUNNNNNNNNNNNNNNNNNNNNNNNNNNNNNNNNNNNNNNNNNNNNNNNNNNNNNNNNNNNNNNNNNNNNNNNNNNNNNNNNNNNNNNNNNNNNNNNNNNNNAUAUUUGCACUUAGUAUGCACUUGUAGGCAACCAUUCUACCACUUGGUCCUUGGUAAGUAGUUUUACACCAUGCACAAUUUGGCCAAAUGAGGUGUUCCCACAUUGUUAAAUCGAUUGCCUCUUCCGACAACUUCAAGUACUAUGACUCUAUACAGAAUCGGGAGACAAAAUCUAGAUCGAAUACAAUACCAUCUCGUUAAAGCAUCAAUUGAUUCCUAAUGAAUAACAUUUAUAAAAAAUUCUCCACUCAACAAAUUUAUUUAAUAUAAUAUUAAAUUUGGCAUAAACCUAAACCUUAAGCAUUUUUACUCAAAAUAAAAUUUAUUAUUAAUUAAAAUGGCUCGUGACUGAUCAAAUAUUAAUAAAAAAAUUCAAUCCACAGGCAACAUUUGUAGUUUUUAUCAAUUUAUUAUGUAUAAGAAAAAUGAAUUAAACAAUUGAAAUGGAUCAUUAGUAAAAUUACCAAACAAAAGAGCCAAUGGCCCAUCUAAUUUGAAACUCGGAGCUACCAGAACCGAAUCCGACCCGAACUUUAUAAGCAUAAAAUCACAAAAGAAAUUAAUCCACUUGUCUCCUCGGCGAAGGAAAAAAACAACAGAAAAAAAAGAAAAAGAAAAAAAGAGAGAGAGAUCUAAAGGGAGAGAGAGAAACAUAGAGCGAGUCACAGCGAAAUCGUCACCGAUCCAACGCGAACGAGUUAAAUGGAAGGAGUGGGGGCUCGACUCGGGCGGUCCUCCACUCGGUACGGACCAGCCACUGUGUUCACUGGACCGGUCAGGAAAUGGAAGAAGAAAUGGGUCCACGUUUCCCCUUCUAACACCGGCAACAGCUCCAACAAUAACAACAAUAAUCACUCUCAUAAUAAUCAUCAGACCACAAUCAACGGUACUUCUAACGGUAAUAACGGUUCCCAUCUCCUCCUUUUUAAAUGGACACCUUUAUCCCAAACCCAAACCAACAACAACGAUAAUGACAAUUCCUCUAAGGACGACGCCGUCGCGGCGCCCGAAGAGCCGCCAAGACGGAAGUUUAAAUACAUUCCGGUAAAUUCUCUUCCUUGGGUUUUCAUCAAUUUCGAAUUUUGGGUCGUCUUUUUUAAGUUAUUUUUUCCUUAUCUGUAUAUGCUUAUUUUGCUUUGUUUCUUGGUGGGAUUUUUUUGGCUGCGAAUUGGGAUUUGAUUUUGCGUGCAUUUUAUGUAAUUGCUUGAUUUGUUAUGGGUUUUGGUUGGAUUGAUCAAUGACUGAAAUUUUAUUAGAUGAAUGUUUCUCACAUAAAUUGUGCUUCGUAAUAUUUUUUCAUGGCCUUGAUGCACUUGGAAUCUUUAUUUAUGCUUCACUUUUGUCAAAUUUAUAGUUAGUGAAAAUGUGUUUCUAGAACAAUAGCUUGCUUAUCAACAAAUUUUGAAUUGCAUAUGCGUGAGGGUACAAAAUUGAGCUGCUUGCCAUCCUCAUACUCGUAGAUCAAAUCCGGGUUCUGGAGAGCUUUUGAAACCAAUGAUAUAAUGAUAGUGAAACUGUUGGAUCGGAGAUUGAAAGGGAAGAGGACCGAGAUUAGUACCUCGUUUCUUUUCUCUGACUAAUCGAACUCUAACGAUACCCUAUGCAGUUGCUUUAAGUUGAACACGGUUGUCGUAAUACUUGGUAAAAGUACCAUGAAGGCCAUUGAACUAGGAGUCGGAUUGCAUUUUUCCCCCUUUACUAAAAAAUUGGGUGAACUAGUCCUUGUACAUUAGAUAAAAAAUCAAACUAGUCAUUCUAUUAAAAGUUUGACCAUUUCUAUUGUUAAAAACUAAUCACUGUAUGUGUAACUGUCUGGUUAAUUCCAUCAGUCACUGUCUAGACUAGUUUGCCCCGUUUUUUAGUGAAGGGGGCAAAAUGUAAUCUGACUCCUAGUACAAGGCCUCCAUGAUAUUUUUACCGUAAUGCUUGGACCUAUCUGAUCUAAUCUAGUAUGUGAAAUCAUAGUAGCAUGAUGUAUGGCUAUAAUCAUAUUGCUUGCAUUGGCAUGAAACAUAAUGUUUCUACUUUUGAUCAUAUCAAACACUGAUAGUGGGUGCUUUUGUCUGGUAAUUGUAAUUCCCUUUUUAAGUUUUUGAUUGGAUAAUCUGAAUAUGCUAACAUUCACAGGUUUGUGAAGCUGCUUAGUUGUAACAAUUGUUGGUAGAAAUGAGUCCUAAGAUCAGUUCAAACUGUUCGAUCAUCUUAUUAUUUUGAUUGCUUGAACAUGCAGAUUGCUGUGCUAGAGGAACAGAGAAAGGAAGCUGAUGAAAACACCGAUGAUGAAUCUAAACUGAGCGAAGCUGACCCUAGUGCUGUAGAGCCAACUUCCAGGAAUGAUGGUCUUGAUGAAAAACCCGACAUUAAUGACAUACCUAUGGAUGAAAGUCAGGUGAGCAGCAAAAUGUUUUUCUAUAUACUUUCAUUUGAAAAGGGG
Molecule: long non-coding RNA, 4651 nt
Filed under: Gossypium raimondii (Peruvian cotton)
Lineage: Eukaryota; Viridiplantae; Streptophyta; Magnoliopsida; Malvales; Malvaceae
Description: long non-coding RNA (GRAI_LNC008784)
Rfam family: Small nucleolar RNA snoR109 (bases 737-838)
Source: RNAcentral